AAAAAAAAAAAGCAUUUAUAAUCCCAUUCGGACAAAAUCUAAUAAAAGACACCUGAAGGAUACAGGCAAAGAAACAGCUCUAAGAAGCCUGCAUUUGACAGGAAGAGACGUUUAACAAUAGCUUUGAUACACAUAGAAUUAUUGUUGUUGGCUAUCGAAUCAGUGGCAGAUGGAAACCCAAGAGUGGAAAGGUGACUGGGACAAUGGGUUUGGGACUAUUAGCUGGGGGGGGGAAGCAGCGCUCUUUAUGUUUUAAUGUUUUCACAAUUUAUCAGGUUGAGUAGAUCUGAAGUGGGCGACUGGAUUCUGCUUUUUUAACCAGCUCUCAAGUGAUGUCCCUGCAGGUGUAUUUUGGACCACGAGGAGCAAGGCUGUGGAGCGCUGCAAGAGGAUGGGUUGCUGGGGAGGAAAACACGGGUGAAAACAGGGAACUCGUGGAGCAGAGACUCCAUCUCUGGGAAUUUUGCCUUUCCCUGUAGUCUCUUGUGCGCUUCAAGCGCUCAUGUCUUUCUGUUUUACUUAGAUUCUUCAGGCUGCAAGAAAUAAAGGGUCACUCGACCUCGUUCAAGGGCUGAGGUUGGUGGUGAAGAAACGGCAAAGCAGUGAGGGUGAUGGAGACUUCUGGAACACAGGCCUCCCCAGUGCCGCCUCUGACCCAUAGCCCAUGUCGGCUUCCUUUCAGCAUCUCUCCAGCUGAGGGCAGGGCCCCUCUCGUUCUUCCUCCAGGCUCCCAGGAGCGAGGACAGGACUGGCUUCACUCGUGUCAGGUGGAACUGGCCACUUGGCUUCUCUUCCCUUGGGUCAGGUGGAGCCCAGGGAGAGGAUGGACAUGGAGAUGGCCAGGAGGUCUGACCUGGCUGCCAGGGGGCAGGUGCAUGUCAUGUUCCUGGAAGGCCGUCUCACGUGUGAGCUCUACAACCCUACACUAAAUGCACCAUCUCCUUGCACAUAUGCCAGAAAUGCUGCCAGGUGCUUCAUGUGGAGCCCGGAGCUCCUGACUUCAGCCCUCAGGGCACCCAGCUCAGUGUGGAAACACAGCAGAGUUAAAUGGAGACAUUGAAAAAGCAACGGCUUCUGCAAGUGUCCUUAGAAAACCCCAGUGUCAGGAGCCAGGUCCGUCAGUCCGUGCAAAUAAAGCAAUGGGACGCCGGCCAGCCUGAGAGCGGGCUUUUGCUGUUCAGGAAGCCAGUACUGCCUCUAAAUGGAGAUCUGCUGCAAUGGGCACUGGAAGAAGAGAGUGAACACUUCGGGCCAUGGAGGUGAAGGCAGAUCGAGGCCUGAGCAUUGCAAAGACCACGAAGGGCACAAAUGAGAAUGAAACUCAAAGCAUAGGAGCCUGG
Long non-coding RNA from Ailuropoda melanoleuca (giant panda), 1340 nucleotides. RefSeq lists it as uncharacterized. The record is from RefSeq and is a predicted model, not a curated record. The transcript has 4 exons. Lineage: Eukaryota; Metazoa; Chordata; Mammalia; Carnivora; Ursidae.